Molecule: long non-coding RNA, 1045 nt
Filed under: Hordeum vulgare
Lineage: Eukaryota; Viridiplantae; Streptophyta; Magnoliopsida; Poales; Poaceae
Description: long non-coding RNA (HVUL_LNC021467)
Source: RNAcentral
UCCGCCUCCACCUCCACCUCCACCAGCGGUGGAAACGCUUUGGCUCAGCUGGUACUCCCCAUAAUAAAAGCAACCGGGCGUGUGCCGAGGAGCCUCUACUGAUUUGGCCACGCGCGGCUCCAAUCUGCUGGUAAAUCCAAGUGCUGUUCCCCCCCUGCUCUAAAUUUCACGUCUGGACCAAGAUUUGUUACGUCGGCCUCUUCUUGUAUCCAAGUUCUGGCCAGUUCAUCUGAUUCUUGGAACAAAAUGCCCUGUUGUGGCUUCGAGAUCUGAUGUGCUUCAUCCCAGAUCACAAUCUGCAAGAUCAGUUAGCUACUUUGGAGUAUGGGGUUCAACCACAGCCCUGCUUGUUAGUUGCAGGCAUAUUGCAUUAUUCUGUGAAAUCCGUGCUAACAUUGUCUCGAAUUUCAACUAAAAUGUACUCCGUACAUCUUAGGACGAAUGUACAUGAAUAUCGAACAAUGCAAGAGUAAUGCUUGCUAGCUUAUAGUCCAAGAAUUUUCUAUGGCCUUUCUUCCACUGAGUUGCAAGUAUUUUUGUUAGCUUUACCAACUAUAGCAAUUAGUUCCCCGGACAACAAAUAUAACAAUUGAUCACCUAUAUAUUUGUAUUAUUCCUUUCUCAGUAUAUUGGAUCUACUUUCUUUUUCCAAUAAAGAUACUGAAUCUACUUACGUGCUCUAUCUUUCAAAAACUUUGGAGUUUUUGAUACGCCCUUCUUUUUCGUGCUUAUAUUUUUAGUGGGAUAUUUAUUGAAUCUACUGCUGCCAUUGCUGUUGAUGUUGCUAGUAAAAUUGCCACAGUUGCUCAUUGUGUGAAUUUAGAUGAUUGAGGAUGCUCAAUUACCCAUUUGACAGGUACAUGGUGCUGCGAAAAGUCUACGUAAAUCCCGAUGGCUGGCAUGGAACAGAGUUUUCUUGCCUCCGCCCCCGAUCUUUCUCACCAUAUGGUACCCAACUCUAUAGGUGUAGUUUCACUUCGAAUUAUAUAUUAUGCUUCCGUUCAAAUGUUGAAUCCAGUACUUGCUCAUUUGCCUACUAAACUGA